UCACCCCUCAAGCCCCGCGCUUGGUGUUGGACGGUCUGGUCGAUGUUGCAUCGAACCCCUCCCAAAGACAAUGACGGCGGCCUGUGGCUCCCCCGGCACACUGAGCUUUUCACCGAGCACGUGUCGGAUUCGUGGGUGUCCAGGUCCCGGUCAUCUCCCCCGUUGGGGGGAAACAUUUUCACAA
RNAcentral lists this unclassified non-coding RNA (184 nucleotides) under uncultured Cladophialophora. RNAcentral's name for it is "sequence contains ITS2". Lineage: Eukaryota; Fungi; Ascomycota; Eurotiomycetes; Chaetothyriales; Herpotrichiellaceae. The record is from RNAcentral.